CAGCCGCCGCGGGAAUACGUAGGGUGCAAGCGUUAAUCGGAAUUACUGGGCGUAAAGCGUGCGCAGGCGGUGUUGUAAGACUGAUGUGAAAUCCCCGGGCUCAACCUGGGAACUGCAUUGGUGACUGUAUAGCUAGAGUACGGCAGAGGGGGAUGGAAUUCCGCGUGUAGCAGUGAAAUGCGUAGAUAUGCGGAGGAACACCGAUGGCGAAGGCAAUCCCCUGGGCCUGUACUGACGCUCAUGCACGAAAGCGUGGGGAGCAAACAGGAUUAGAUACCCCAGUAGUCCCUGUCUCUUAUAC
RNAcentral lists this ribosomal RNA (301 nucleotides) under uncultured bacterium. RNAcentral describes it as "partial 16S ribosomal RNA". It matches the Rfam family "Bacterial small subunit ribosomal RNA", at positions 509 to 807 of the family's 1533-position model. The record is from RNAcentral.